Molecule: small nuclear RNA, 23 nt
Filed under: Arabidopsis thaliana (thale cress)
Lineage: Eukaryota; Viridiplantae; Streptophyta; Magnoliopsida; Brassicales; Brassicaceae
Description: snRNA_19275
Source: RNAcentral
UUGUUUGUAUAUUCAGUUAUGUU